Molecule: long non-coding RNA, 3293 nt
Filed under: Sarcophilus harrisii (Tasmanian devil)
Lineage: Eukaryota; Metazoa; Chordata; Mammalia; Dasyuromorphia; Dasyuridae
Description: lncRNA (ENSSHAG00000023936.1)
Source: RNAcentral
GUUUUGCUAAAAGAUAUCUGGGACAGUAUGCCGCUGCAAGUAUUCUGGAAAUAGUGAGAAGACUUAUACGUGCAUGGAAAAAUCGAAAAGGCAGUAUUCCAUUGGGACAACAUGAAGGUAAGAUUAUAAUAUGUAGAUAGUGAGAUCUGUGUUAAAAUAGGAAAAGAAAAGAUGGUAUUUGAGAGCUGGAGAAAUAAGGGAUAGGCCUUGGGAACUGGAAUAGAGUCUGUAUGAUCAAACACAUAGAAGAGAAGAAAUUUCAUGAAGUCCUAGGGCUAUUCACAGGAUCCAUAAGGAGUAUCACAGAAGACUUGUCUGAACAGGAAAAAAAUAAGAAGAAAUAGCAAUGGAAAGAGAGAAAAGUUUAAUGGGCAGAGGGGGGGGAGGAGGAGAAAUAGUAAUUUGUGGAUGUGGAGUGAAUGAUUGGCUCUAGGAAUAAGCUCUGUCAAUUACCAUCCACCUUUUGCAUGGCAUUUGGUUUUAGCAAACUCAAUGAGCUACUUUUCCAUUUACUUGCUUAGUUAUAUAGAUAGUUAACUACUUCUAUGAUACAUACUUCUUUUUGAUGAUAGAGAUUAGAUUUUUAUUUUCAUUGAAACUGUCUCAGAGAAUUGUCUAGAGCACAGAAAGUUUUGUACAGUCAGAACACCAAUGUGGGUCACAUGUAGAACUCUCACUAGGACCUUCUUUAUUCCUGGCCUGCCUCUCAGACUUUUUUGAUCUCUCUGAUCUCCAGAUCCUGAAAACUUUCUUUUAUGUACACCCUGUGUCUGAUUGGAUAAAACGUAAACUGAAGAAAAUGGGUUAUAAAACGUCAUUGUUAAAAACCUUGAAGAGCUACUGAUUAAAGGCUUGAUUGUUGUGUUUCCGUUCAGACCUCUGUAGUGCAGGCUGAUGAGAGGAAAUGGUGACCAAAGUGACAAAGGGUGAAAAAAGAGCAGGCAAGAGGAGUGAGGAACAGAUAGUGGAAGAUGGCUGCCUUGGAACCAGGGAGAAAAAGCAACCAAAGGGUCCCUUCCUUUCACACAGAGUAUGAGGAGCUCCAGAUGUAUCCAGAGUUCUUUGUUGGCCAACUUUGUGGCCACUUAGAAUCCAGAGAUAUGGUGUUCCCUUCUUGUCUAAAAUAUGAUCGUUCUCUCUGGGAGCAGGUUUCUUGGGGAGGUUUUCUGGAGGCAAACUUAGUUUUGGUUCAGCUCACUAAUCACUUCAAAUGCAGCCAGCCGAUAAAAUCCAAAUUUUCUCCUUCCUUGGGCCUGGGUAGCUUUCUUAGAGGCCUAUCUCUCUGCUUGGUUCCAAGAGCUCUUGCAGCUUGUCCUUUGCCUCUGCUUUCUUCAGCCUCCUGCCAGUACAAAGGUGGAAAAUGGAAUGAAUCUGACUCCGCCUGGGCUUGUGGGCUUCUGUACCUCCCAGAGUGCUCUUUGGCCCUGAGAGCUUCUUGCUUAUGUGCUGUUCACUGAGUACACACCAAUCCUUAUAUCACUGGGAAACCAUUAUUUGUUGUAUGAUUAAAUCAAUGCUAAACUAGACUUAAACAUUGUCUCCUCAAUUCUACCUAGUACCUUGUUUCAAGUUCUGGCCUGUAACAUCUCCUCGCAAUAUCAGAUCAGUCAUACUGAACCAAGCUAAAUUAGAUAAUUAUUGUCUCUAUCAAAUCUAAUGAGUUAACACUUUGUAAGCAUUCCAACACAGAGACAUAAUUUAAUGAUGUUUAAAUGAGGUGACCAUAGGAUGAAAUACAAACUGAAAAAUAAAGUUUUUGCCAAUAAUUGGGAAAGGGGAAAGGGGAACCACUUGCCAAUAAUCACUUAGCAGAGGCAGAAAUGGGGAUUCCUAAGACCCUGGACAGGAGGACUCUAACUCACCUUUGCAGACUUACUUCACACUGCUUGUCUUUUCUCUUUUUUCCAACCAAAGUAUUUUGGUCAUUUUUCUGUAUAUUGCCCUGCUCUGUGUCCUUUCAGGCCAUCUGGUGUAAUCUCUCUUUUUCUUCAGAAAGAUUCUCAAGUAUAUACUCCAUAAAGCUUUUCUGGAAUUUCCCAUUCUUCCUGACAAUUAUUUCCUAAUCUCAAUCUGUUAGUUUCUUUGAAAGGAGUAUCCAUUAUAAACAUGAUCAACUCAUGUCACAGAGUACCUACUCAUGUAUAUGACACUGCAACCCAUCCCAAGGUUUAUUCAACUUAGAAAUAAUACCCAUUUGUUUUUCUGAAUUUUUCAUAAAAUGAAAUACAGAUCAAAUGUAAAAUAAUGACAAAAAGAAUUACACAUAAAUAUUCCCAUGAGUUCAUUGGCCUAGAUUUUCUGGAAACUGAGAGACUGAGGGUGACUUUGCCUAUCCAAGUUGUCUGAAUUAUACUGUCUACUUUGUUCAUGUCUGAGGUACAAAAAAAAAUCACUUUCAAUGAUGUCCACACAGAAUAUACACAUAAAAACAAAUAUGGGUCACUUCUAGCAGCAUAUGGGCUAUCCCUCUUUCCUGGAAAUUAAACAUUCACAUGUGCUCCAUCUGUCCAUAGCCAUUGAAUCAUUUUCUUCUCCAAUCAGGAAAUGCUGUGCACAUAAAUGAAAGGGAAAAAACACUAAGAUCAGAAACCUAUUAAACAGCUUGCCUAUCUUCUAUCUAGAAAAAGGAUAAUUAAUGACUUUUUUUAGCCUAGUUGAGUGAAUAAAAAUAUCAACAUGCACAUUACGUAAAAUGUUUAUAUUACUAAUGUGUAUUUGUUUGAUGCUGUUAAGGAAGUAUUUGUUUUCAAUUUCAAAAUUCGACCCUUCCUUCAAUUUCUUAGUACUUAAGAAGACGGACACAUACUGAGACUAACUUUAUAACUUCUUUUGUACAAAAUUUGUUGAGAUUUUUUUGGAUUGUUGAAUGAUAAACUAAUUUUAUUUUAUAAAAUAAACAAUGUUCAAUCUUUUACAUUGUAUUUUCUGAUAUUAAUCAACAGUUUCUCUGUAAAUAGCCUGACUUUCCAUAAAUGAUAAAUUAUAUUUGUUGAAGGGAAUUUUAUGGUAGUAACAUUUAUCUUAACAUUUAGAGAUUUAGAACAAUGAUGCUUUUUUAAAAUUACUUACAAAAUUGAAAGGUUUUGUACAUCAUUCCCUCGAUAUCCUUUAUCGACGUUCUUUCUGGUAUUACUGCAUCUAAACAUUUUUAAAUGGAUAAAGUGACUGAUACCAGAUGUAUAAUUAUGUCAGUAGAUAAUGUGGAGAUGGAGGGAAAUUAAAAUAUAUCAUCAACUAUUAAUUCUGCAUUUAUACUUCUAAGUGGAUGUAUUCAGAAUAUUGGUCUCUAGCCC